GGCUCAGAUUGAACGCUGGCGGCAUGCCUUACACAUGCAAGUCGAACGGCAGCACGGGGCAACCUGGUGGCGAGUGGCGAACGGGUGAGUAAUGCAUCGGAACGUGCCAUUGAGUGGGGGAUAACGUAGCGAAAGUUGCGCUAAUACCGCAUAUUCUGUGAGCAGGAAAGCAGGGGACCGCAAGGCCUUGCGCUCUUUGAGCGGCCGAUGUCAGAUUAGCUAGUUGGUGAGGUAACGGCUUACCAAGGCGACGAUCUGUAGCGGGUCUGAGAGGAUGAUCCGCCACACUGGAACAGAGACACGGUCCAGACUCCUACGGGAGGCAGCAGUGGGGAAUUUUGGACAAUGGGCGCAAGCCUGAUCCAGCCAUGCCGCGUGAGUGAAGAAGGCCUUCGGGUUGUAAAGCUCUUUCGGCCGGGAAGAAAUCGCAUGGGUUAAUACCCUGUGUGGAUGACGGUACCGGAAUAAGAAGCACCGGCUAACUACGUG
Molecule: ribosomal RNA, 489 nt
Filed under: uncultured bacterium
Lineage: Bacteria
Description: bacterial SSU rRNA
Rfam family: Bacterial small subunit ribosomal RNA
Source: RNAcentral